RNAcentral lists this long non-coding RNA (2276 nucleotides) under Sus scrofa (pig). RNAcentral's name for it is "lncRNA (ENSSSCG00005000698.1)". The record is from RNAcentral. Lineage: Eukaryota; Metazoa; Chordata; Mammalia; Artiodactyla; Suidae.
GGCGCCAGCGCACAGACGGGAGGAAGAGAUGGGGCUCCAAAGCCCAGUCAGCAUUGGCUGCACUGAUAACGGGCACCUGGCGUAUUUGAUUUACCACCAGCAAGUCACCUGCCCUGGUGUUUCAUUUGGGGUCAUCAGAGAUGAAGAAAGUCACAAACAAAGGAAACCCUGAAAGUGUCUCAAAGGGCAGGCCUCCGUGUCAUCUGCCCCGGGCUGCCCAGGACUGGGCUCGUGGGGCAGGAGCCCAAGCAUCCUUGACCUUGACCUAGAGCAGCUAUUCAGGGGUGGGCAGGCGUCUGCCUGAGUCUCACCAGCCGGGCUCAGAAGCAACCCUUGGAGAAACCGGGAGAAACCACCUUCUCCCCAGCCCUUCUCGUGCCCGCGACCUCGCGCAGGCCCCAGUUUUUACCCUAAUCACCGAAAUUGGUCUUUUAUUUCUCCAGCAGAGGUAUUUUCCUCUGGAUCGUUUUAUACUGUUUUCGCAGCUCAUCACCUCUCUGCCCCCCCAGACUCCUGUGGUGCACAGACUGAGGGAGGGGCCCAAACACCGCCGGUGGCCUUGCAGACAGAGCAAAACAGCCCACGCAGUCCCCUCGGCUGCCUGUUUCCACGAGGUACUGGUCUCUUCGUGUUCACACCAUGUGCCACUAUAUUUUGCAUUUAUACUUUGGUAUUACACUCUUUUAUAGAUUGGCUCUUUUAUAAAUGAUGUGUAAAUAGUUUUCCACUAUCCGCCCUUCUAGAAUGCCUAUGGCAUCUUUUUUUGUUGUUGUUUGGUCCAAUACAUUUUUUUCCUGCAUAUGACUCUGUGUUUUUCAAAUCCACAUCUCUCCUCCGUAGUAUUUUUUAAAUAAAUGUUUACAACAUUAGAACUUGGGCAGCUUGCUUUGGUCUCUAAUUCUUCCCCGUUGUUCAGGCCGUGGCACGUGUGUGGGGAGGGAGGGAGUCACGUUCCCGAAGGGGCCGAAGGCGCCGUGUUGGUGAACAGAAUCCUGCAUCCUCCUCGUCCUCAGCCAUUUCAUGAGCCCACCUCAUCCUGGGCCCUUCCUGCACCCCCCUGUCAGCCGCACUGGGAGCGGGCUGUGCCACCUCGCAGACCAUGUCUGACGGGCGCGCGAGAGGAAGACCAGCCCGGGCUUCGCCGCCUGUCAGGCCGCCACGUGUCAUCGGAGUGGGAGGAGGUCACAUCCUGGACCCCUCUCUGGCUGAAGGGGUAAUCCCUCCCCACGGGGCUUUUUCUCUUUACAUUUGAGGCCCCCAGCCCCGUCAAUACCCACAGCACCCCAGGCAUCUGAUUUCUUUGUGUGCGCGAAAGUGUGCUGGCCUGAGAGGGGAUGGAGACACCGCCUGGGCUGUGCCGUGACCUCUCCCGAGGGAACUGUGGCCAGGCCACUGUCGUUUCCCCGGCUUGGUCUCCCUUGAACGGCAGCUGACAGCUGGAAAGUGGAAGUCGGGGCAUAAGUAGCACCCUCUGGUAAUGAUACCUAUUAAGCCAGCGGGUUUGUCAGCGAGUACAGAUCCUGUUCACCAAAGUGCUUUGGAGAGCACGGUUCAGUGAAACCGCUCUCCCAGAGACCUCGGCAGCAAGCCGUGCUGCACGCCAGGCAGUGGAGGUGGAAAGCCCAGCCCGGGACCGGGGCUGGCAGACGCCCCCGGGGCGGGCUCCAGUUGGGUAGCUGCAGCUGGCCCCGGGGACCGGAUCUCUUCCCUCCUUUCACAGAGGGAAAAACUGAACCAACACUUGACACCGGAUCUCCCAAGUCGGGGGCCUUUCCACGGGUAACGAGCUCUUGUCUCGAGUGACAGCUUCAAGUCUGAAAGAGGACACAGAGUGAUUACAGUGACAGCCACCGCGGACGGCCGCUUCCUCUGUGCUGCUCAUGGACGCGUCAUGGGAUCGUCACGGCAGCCUCUUGGGGCGUGUCAUCCUCUCCCAGUCCAGCUUUCCGAGCCACACUCCGUACCCAGUGGAAAGUGCUCCCUUACUGUUGCACUUUGGCUGCCACGCCGGGUGUCCCGAUGGAGACUCAAAACUCGCAUUUUCCCACUGUCCUCACUCCGUCCACCCGCCUCAGCUCUGUUCAUAUGCACACCCCCAAGUCCUUGGCUCCAUGCCCCUGGGGCAGGGGGACUGCUCAGAACCAGCCCCCCAGGGGAGGGGGCUGGCGCACAACAGCCUGCCUGGGAGCUGUGUCUCCUAACCUCCUUUUUGACACCAUCCAGGAUUUUGCUUCAGCGAAGUUCGAGAUUAAAGUAAGCACCCACUUAACCAAUCC